This is a long non-coding RNA of Cyprinus carpio (common carp), 490 nucleotides long. RefSeq lists it as uncharacterized. NCBI's taxonomy places the organism in Eukaryota, Metazoa, Chordata, Actinopteri, Cypriniformes, Cyprinidae. The record is from RefSeq and is a predicted model, not a curated record.
CCCUGUGUCUCCUUACCGCUAUAAAAGAGCAAAAGCUCAGAUUCCAGCAGACAUUUCAGAGCAGCCAGACAGGACUGAAACUGCAUCACAAAACCUCAGAUCCAAGAUGAAGGCCUGGUUCGUUCUGUUCCUGCUGCUGCCUCUCUGCAUGGCGGAUCAUUACAUUGAGUGCUAUGGUGAAGACUUCCUGAUGGUGAGGAACAUGGUUCUGCAGUGCAGGAGUAAAGUUCCUCAGGCCUGCUACACCAGAGCAACUGGAGAGAAAGGCUGCGUCAGCGAGGUAUUCUGUCAAAGGAAAGGCUGGACAUGUUGUUAUGAAAACCGGUGCAACGCUUGAUCCUCAUGGAGUCUGCUGACCACCAGCUUCACUUAUGCCUCAGUCAUCUUUGUUUUCAUUUUAUACUCUCUGACAUCAAUAUGAUUUUAUAUUGUGACACCAAUGACUUCAAAUUAAAAAAAUAAUUAAAAAUAAAUAAAAAUUCAGUAACCA